CCUACGGGAGGCAGCAGUGGGGAAUAUUUGGCAAUGGAGGCAACUCUGACCCAGCAACGCCGCGUGAAUGAUGAAGGUCUUCGGAUUGUAAAGUUCUUUUCUAAGGGAAGAAGAAAGUGACGGUACCUUAGGAAUAAGCCUCGGCUAACUACUUGCCUGCAGCCGCGGUAAUACGUUGGAGGCAAGCGUGAUCCGGAAUGACUGGGCGUAAAGGUUGCGUAGGUGGUUUGACAAGUUAGUAGCGGAACUGCGGAGGUCAACUUAGGGACUACUACUAACACUGUUGGACUUGAGUGCAGGAGAGGCAAUCGGAAUUCCUAGUGGAGCGGUGGAAUGCGUAGAUAUUAGGAAGAACACCAGUGGCGAAGGCGGAUUGCUAGACUGUAACUGACACUGAGGCACGAAAGCGUGGGGAGCAAACAGGAUUAGAUACCCCUGUAGUC
Molecule: ribosomal RNA, 443 nt
Filed under: uncultured bacterium
Lineage: Bacteria
Description: partial 16S ribosomal RNA
Rfam family: Bacterial small subunit ribosomal RNA
Source: RNAcentral